AUGGCAAUAGUGCACCGGUGGCGUAAACCGGAUUAUUUUAUCACGAUGACAUGCAACCCAUAUUGGGAGGAGAUAACCGAUAAGUUGUUGCCUGGACAACUGCCGCAGGACCGUCCAGACCUGGUGGCAAGAGUAUACAAGGCUAAACAGCGAGAUAUGAUGGACUUACUAACUAAGGGUUAGCAUUUCAGAGAAGUCGUAGCCUAUGUACAUGUAACUGAGUUCCAGAAGCGAGGUCUCCCGCAUGAGCAUAUACUUCUAAUCAUGAAAGCAAAAAGCAAGUUAUCAACACCAGAUGACUAUGAUCGAGUGAUAUGUGCAGAGAUACCGGACAAAGAGAAACACCAUGUUCUACAUGAACUGGUCGUCAAACACAUGCUGCAUGGACCAUGUGGCGAGUUGAAAAAAAGGUUGCCCUUGCAUGAUUGA
This 429-nucleotide ribosomal RNA is filed under the name Triticum aestivum (bread wheat). RNAcentral's name for it is "partial small subunit ribosomal RNA". The record is from RNAcentral. Lineage: Eukaryota; Viridiplantae; Streptophyta; Magnoliopsida; Poales; Poaceae.